RNAcentral lists this ribosomal RNA (254 nucleotides) under uncultured bacterium. RNAcentral's name for it is "partial 16S ribosomal RNA". It matches the Rfam family "Bacterial small subunit ribosomal RNA", at positions 524 to 776 of the family's 1533-position model. The record is from RNAcentral.
UACGUAGGGGGCGAGCGUUGUCCGGAUUUAUUGGGCGUAAAGAGCUCGUAGGCGGUUCGGUAAGUCGGAUGUGAAAUCUCCACGCUCAACGUGGAGGGGCCAUUCGAUACUGCCGUGACUCGAGUCCGGUAGGGGAGACUGGAAUUCUCGGUGUAGCAGUGAAAUGCGUAGAUAUCGAGAGGAACACCAGUGGCGAAGGCGAGUCUCUGGACAUUUCCUGACGCUGAGGCACGAAAGCCAGGGGAGCAAACGGG